UUGGUGUCCUACCUGUAGCUCACAACCUGCCAGUUUUAGGUUGUAACUCCUUCGACGCCGAAAAAAAUUGCUUCACUCCUGUGCCGUGUGGAGCCUUACCUCCAUUACGGCAAGUACUGUCGUGAACUGGCUUGUUGUGAAGUGUUUGCGAUUCCAAAGACGUGGAGGACCUCAGACAGGCUGCAGUCCCUGCUGACACUCGUAACCUCAGCGGCCACUUCCCUCUGAGAAGAUCCUGUUUUCAACCUCAAUCACACUGACGUUUGAUAUACGACAUCAUAAAUGGCAAUGGCCCAAGAGAACGCCAAGGUGUCAAGUUGGGACUACUCCAAAGCCAGGUAAGAAG
Nerophis ophidion (straightnose pipefish) is the source of this 346-nucleotide long non-coding RNA. RefSeq lists it as uncharacterized. Lineage: Eukaryota; Metazoa; Chordata; Actinopteri; Syngnathiformes; Syngnathidae. The record is from RefSeq and is a predicted model, not a curated record. The transcript has 4 exons.